GAGUUUGAUCGUGGCUCAGAACGAACGCUGGCGGCGUGGAUAAGACAUGCAAGUCGAACGUGGCAGACCUUGUUAGCAAUAAUAGGGGCUGUCUAGUGGCGAAAGGGUGAGUAACACGUGGGAAUCUGCCCGGAAGUGGGGGAUAGCUCGCCGAAAGGCGAAUUAAUACCGCAUGUGGUCGCAAGACCAAAGCGGGGGACCGCAAGGCCUCGCGCUUCCGGAGGAGCCCGCGUCCUAUCAGCUUGUUGGCGGGGUAACGGCCCACCAAGGCUUUGACGGGUAGCUGGUCUGAGAGGACGACCAGCCACACUGGAACUGAGACACGGUCCAGACACCUACGGGUGGCAGCAGUCGAGAAUUUUUCACAAUGGGCGAAAGCCUGAUGGAGCGACGCCGCGUGGAGGAUGAAGGUCUUCGGAUCGUAAACUCCUGUCACCCCAGAACAAGGAAGCCGACCUAAUACGACGGCAACUUGAUGGUAUGGGGAGAGGAAGGGACGGCUAAACUCUGUGCCAGCCGCCGCUGU
Molecule: ribosomal RNA, 526 nt
Filed under: uncultured Verrucomicrobiae bacterium
Lineage: Bacteria; Pseudomonadati; Verrucomicrobiota; Verrucomicrobiia
Description: bacterial SSU rRNA
Rfam family: Bacterial small subunit ribosomal RNA
Source: RNAcentral